AAGAGAAAGACUUAGGGCAUCUC
This 23-nucleotide small nuclear RNA is filed under the name Arabidopsis thaliana (thale cress). RNAcentral's name for it is "snRNA_16129". The record is from RNAcentral. Lineage: Eukaryota; Viridiplantae; Streptophyta; Magnoliopsida; Brassicales; Brassicaceae.